Molecule: ribosomal RNA, 468 nt
Filed under: uncultured bacterium
Lineage: Bacteria
Description: partial 16S ribosomal RNA
Rfam family: Bacterial small subunit ribosomal RNA
Source: RNAcentral
GACGUACGCUGGCGGCGUGCUUAACACAUGCAAGUCGAACGGAAAGGCCCUGCUUUUGUGGGGUGCCCGAGUGGCGAACGGGUGAGUAACAAGUGAGUAACCUGCCCGUGACUUUGGGAUAACUUCAGGAAACUGGGGCUAAUACCGGAUAGGAGCUCCUGAUGCAUGGUGUGGGUGGGAGAGUUUCGGCGGCUGGGGAUGGACGCGCGGCUUAUCAGCUGGUUGGUGGGGUAGUGGCGUACCAAGGCUUUGACGGGUGGCCGGCUUGGGAGGGUGACACGCCCCAGUGGGAUUGGGGUAGCGGCCGUGCGCCUACGUGCGGCAGCAGUGGGGGACAGUCCACGAUGGGCGGAAGCCGUAUGGAGCAACUCCGCGUUCGGGAGGACGGCCUUUGGGUUGUAAACCGCUUCCGGCGGUGACGAAGCGGGAGUGACGGUAACGGGUAAAGAAGCACCGGCUAACUACGUG